Long non-coding RNA from Mastomys coucha (southern multimammate mouse), 1130 nucleotides. RefSeq lists it as uncharacterized. The transcript has 4 exons. The record is from RefSeq and is a predicted model, not a curated record. Lineage: Eukaryota; Metazoa; Chordata; Mammalia; Rodentia; Muridae.
GAAAGGUCUAGGCAGCUGCCCCCAGACACAGUUUACUCCUCUGAGACAAAGAUCAUAUGUAGACCAGGCUGCAUGGCCUGAAGGGCAGAGAGAUUGGUGUGGUGUGUAGCCAUGCUGGAGUGUGUUGGCCAUACCAUUCUCUGCUAUCAUGGCGCUUGUUUGAUUGUUUGAUUGAUUGAUUGAUUGAUCGAUUGACUGAUUGAGUUUUGCUCCCAGGAGGGAGCACAAGAUAGUGAUCUGUUUGGAAAGCUUUCCUACGUGCCUUGUUUACCAUACCUCUGCACUACCGACAGCACUUCUGCCCCUAGGCACACACCUUACAGAAACGUGUACUUACCCUCUUUAUGAUGCAUGGUCAGAACCACUCAGGGUAACACAGCUCACAAAAGCCAGACUCUGGAAGCAGUGGGUGUGCUCUAAGCCAAAGAGAUCACUAAGCAGUGUCAGGCCUGGCUCGUACCUGUUCGGGAGACCGUUCAUUUAUAACCAUGAAGUGGCUGUAUCGAAGUCCCAGCUGCAUCCAGAUUCAAAGGUGUUUCUGCUUCCAUCUGAAACACCAUUCUUUUCCAGUACGUGGGUCUGCCUGUUGGCUGGGGCUCGUCGGGACUCUGUAGGUGUACACUGGCCUCUGCUGGGAUUGGCUGAGUUCAGAUCCAAAUUGCAGAUCAGUGCCUCGCUCAGCCUCGCUCAGUCCUGCGGCAGACGGGAACGGAGACCCACAGCCAGACGGUAUGCCGAGAAUGUGAGACGUUAGAAUGCUCUUCACUAAGUAAUGUGUCUCCAUGACAUCCCUCCCUCAGAGCUCAGGGGAGCCCCCAGAAGAGGAGAUGAAGCCUGGCAAGUGUGGUGAGGAGAGAUGGCCCAGUAGGAAGAGCUGCAAGCAUGAAGACCAGAGUUUGGAGCCCCUGGACCCAGAAUGAUUCCUACCGGCAUGGCAAAGCCCUGGCAAUUUCAGCAGGUGUGAGGGGAGUCACAUGAUCUCCAGGGGAAGCUGGCUCAUUCUCAAAGGACUAACGAAACCAACACACUCCAAGUUUGUGCCGAAGACUCUGGUUAUUGUGAACUCUGAUGCUAUUCCUACUGUGUGCUCUUAGUCAGUCAACACUGUGCUGGUAUAAUGUCCCCCUUUU